This 2113-nucleotide ribosomal RNA is filed under the name Henneguya sp. IF-2006. RNAcentral's name for it is "SSU rRNA". It matches the Rfam family "Eukaryotic small subunit ribosomal RNA". The record is from RNAcentral. Lineage: Eukaryota; Metazoa; Cnidaria; Myxozoa; Bivalvulida; Myxobolidae.
ACCUGGUUGAUCCUGCCAGUGCGCUAUACGCUCUUUUUAAAGACUAAGCCAUGCAUAUGCCAAGUUCAUACAUUAACAAUGUGAGACUGUGGAAGGCUCAGUAUAUCAGUUAUAAUCUGCUCGAUUGUUGAGGUUAUUGGAUAACCGUGGGAAAUCUAGAGCUAAUACAUGCAGCAAAGCAUGCGGCAGUUUGACUGCGUGCGUGGCAUUUAUUAGACUGCUACCAACCGUGUCAGAGUUGCAAGACGAUGGCGCGUGGUGAAUCUAGAUAACUGUGCAGAUCGUAUGGCCUUGAGCCGGCGAUGUUUCGAUUGAAUUUCUGCCCUAUCAACUUUUGUCGGCAGUUUAGUGGACUGCCGAGGUUAUUACGGGUAACGGGGGAUCAGGGUUCGAUUCCGGAGAGGGAGCCUGAGAAACGGCUACCACAUCCAAGGAAGGCAGCAGGCGCGCAAAUUACCCAAUCCAGACGAUGGGAGGUGGUGACGAAAAGUACUGAAUGACGGCCUCUGGUUGUCAGUUUGGAAUGGAAACAAUUUAAGAAAUUGGUUUGAGUAACAACUGGAGGGCAAGUCUGGUGCCAGCAGCCGCGGUAAUUCCAGCUCCAGUAGCGUAUCUCAAAGUUGCUGCGCUUAAAACGCUCGUAGUUGGAUCAAGUUACGUUUGCGAGUGGGUGUGCAAACAACUGCGCUUCUGUCUUGGUAGGGUCCUAGCAUGCGUUCUCGUGUGUUUGGGCGACCGGACGGCAAAGUAUUUGCUACUUGAAAGCUCGCAAAUGAAAAUUGCACGUGAGGAUGGUGGUUGACCUUGAGUGAGUUGGCCGUCGUGUCUCACGGAGUGUGCCUUGAGUAAAACAGAGUGCUUAAAGCAGGCAGUGAUGCUUGAAUGUUGAUAGCAUGGAACGAACAAUCGUGUAUGGUGUGUGCUGAGUACAGUGCGUCGGUGCGCAAUCGCUGGCGCACUUCAGCACACGACACCGACCACCAAUUACGGAUGUUGGUUCCGUAUUGGGGUACUGAUUAAGAGGAGCGGUUGGGGGCAUUGGUAUUUGGCAGCGAGAGGUGAAAUUCUUAGACCUGCCAAGGACUAACAAAUGCGAAGGCAUCUGUCCAGACCGUGUCCAUUAAUCAAGAACGAAAGUGAGAGGUUCGAAGACGAUCAGAUACCGUCCUAGUUCUCACUGUAAACGGUGCCGACCCGGGAUCAGUUUGGAGCAAGUAUCCACGCUCGAGGUUGGUCACCCUGGGGGAAACAUAAAGUUUUUCGGUUNGCGGGGGGAGUAUGGUCGCAAGGCUGANNACUUANAAGGGAAUUGACGGAAGGGCACCACCAGGGGUGGAGCCUGCGGNUUAAUUUGAUUCAACACGGGAAAACUUACCUGGUCCGGANGUCAAAGGAGGAUAAACAGAUUUGCGAUCUUUUUUGAUAUGAUGAUUGGUGGUGCAUGGCCGUUCUUAGUUCGUGGAGUGAUUUGUCAGGCCGAUUCCGGUAACGAACGAGAUCACAGUCUCCAUUUGAAGCGCCGAAGAAGGCAGGAUUUUCGGUCGUGGCCGUAACAGGCGACGGACGGGAAGGCUGUCGGUGGCGAGAGUGACGCAGAGGCUCGUAACGUUGUGCGGUAACGUGCGGCAGAUAAGAGUGUGCUACGGCAUGUUCUCCCUUGGGUGAAACAGUUUGCUGAUCGCAAGAUGAGCAAGGUGUAUCAUGGAGAGACAACGGAAUAUAUUGCAAAAUCCGAGGAAGUGUGGCUAUAACAGGUCUGUGAUGCCCUUAGAUGUUCAGGGCUGCACGCGCGCUACAAUGGCGGUGACAGCAAGUGUCUGGAUCGAAAGAUUUGGGUAAUCUUGAAUCACCGCCGUGAUGGGGAUCGACGUUUGUAAUUACGUCGUGAAAUAGGAAUCCCUAGUGCGUGCGAUUCAUGAGAUCGCGCGGAUUCAGUCCCUGCCCUUUGUACACACCGCCCGUCGCUACUACCGAGUGAAUGGUGCCAUAAUGCCCUGGGAGCGGACGUCGUUACCGGGUUAACGCCCGGGAGGACGCUGCAAUCAGCGUAGAAUGGUGCAAUUUCGAGGAAGUAUAAGUCGUAACAAGGUUUCCGUAGGUGAACCAGCGGAAG